RNAcentral lists this ribosomal RNA (263 nucleotides) under uncultured bacterium. RNAcentral describes it as "partial 16S ribosomal RNA". It matches the Rfam family "Bacterial small subunit ribosomal RNA", at positions 793 to 1055 of the family's 1533-position model. The record is from RNAcentral.
GUCCACGCCGUAAACGAUGUCAACUAGCCGUUGGAACCUUUAAGUUUUUAGUGGUGCAGCUAACGCGAUAAGUUGACCGCCUGGGGAGUACGGUCGCAAGAUUAAAACUCAAAUGAAUUGACGGGGGCCCGCACAAGCGGUGGAGUAUGUGGUUUAAUUCGAUGCAACGCGAAGAACCUUACCUGGCCUUGACAUGUCCGGAACUUACCAGAGAUGGUUUGGUGCCUUCGGGAACCGGAACACAGGUGCUGCAUGGCUGUCGU